This is a long non-coding RNA of Dermacentor andersoni, 521 nucleotides long. RefSeq lists it as uncharacterized. The record is from RefSeq and is a predicted model, not a curated record. Lineage: Eukaryota; Metazoa; Arthropoda; Arachnida; Ixodida; Ixodidae.
UUGACGACGGCGAUGCGCUAGUAUGGCGCUAGUUUCAUUCCGAAAUUCGUUCGAAAAAGUGACGAGAUACUAAGCUACAUGGUUUUGACGUUCUUGCGUGCAUCACCGGACGAACUGGCGAAGUGGAUAGUUGAGUCUGGUUAAGGCUUGGGCCACAACCUUGGUCGCGACGUUCGCAGUAUCGUUGCAAUAAGUGUGGAAUGUCAAACACAAUGGACGGCGCACGGACGACGUCGUGUUGUGCAUCAACCAUCAAGUAUAACUGAGUGUCGACGUGAACAUUAUGCGAUAAGAUUUUUUAUCCUGUGGGGAAAUAAAGACCCUCUGAACUCUUCUGCUGAACCUUCAAGGGUAACGGGUCAUUUCUAAGCCUCCAUGAAAUCCAACAAAUUGGACUUGAUGCGGUCAAGAGAGACCAGUGCCAUAUCACUGUUUCUUAUUGUGAGGAAGAUCAGCUUGUGCUAGCUCUGCAGCUAUGUUGUGGAGAGCUGCGUCAACGUGACAACACACUUAUGGACACA